GAUCCUGGCUCAGGAUGAACGCUAGCUACAGGCUUAACACAUGCAAGUCGAGGGGAAACGACAUCGAAAGCUUGCUUUUGAUGGGCGUCGACCGGCGCACGGGUGAGUAACGCGUAUCCAACCUGCCCACCACUUGGGGAUAACCUUGCGAAAGUAAGACUAAUACCCAAUGACAUCCCACGAAGACAUCUGAAUGGGAUUAAAGGUUUAUCGGUGAUGGAUGGGGAUACGUCUGAUUAGCUUGUUGG
Molecule: ribosomal RNA, 248 nt
Filed under: uncultured bacterium
Lineage: Bacteria
Description: partial 16S ribosomal RNA
Rfam family: Bacterial small subunit ribosomal RNA
Source: RNAcentral